RNAcentral lists this ribosomal RNA (468 nucleotides) under uncultured bacterium. Its description in RNAcentral is "partial 16S ribosomal RNA". It matches the Rfam family "Bacterial small subunit ribosomal RNA", at positions 28 to 507 of the family's 1533-position model. The record is from RNAcentral.
GACGAACGCUGGCGGCGUGCUUAACACAUGCAAGUCGAACGGAAAGGCCCUGCUUUUGUGGGGUGCUCGAGUGGCGAACGGGUGAGUAACACGUGAGUAACCUGCCCUUGACUUUGGGAUAACGUCAGGAAACUGGGGCUAAUACCGGAUAGGAGCUCCUGCUGCAUGGUGGGGGUUGGAAAGUUUCGGCGGUUGGGGAUGGACUCGCGGCUUAUCAGCUUGUUGGUGGGGUAGUGGCUUACCAAGGCUUUGACGGGUAGCCGGCCUGAGAGGGUGACCGGCCACAUUGGGACGGAGAUACGGCCCGGACUCCUACGGGAGGCAGCAGUGGGGAAUAUUGCACAAUGGGCGGAAGCCUGAUGCAGCAACGCCGCGUGCGGGAUGACGGCCUUCGGGUUGUAAACCGCUUUCGCCUGUGACGAAGCGUGAGUGACGGUAAUGGGUAAAGAAGCACCGGCUAACUACGUG